AUGGAGAAGAGAGUGAUUGCCUCCCAGCGCUGUCCCACGACCGAGGAGCCAUGCGAUAGAUUUGAAAGUCUGUCCUGCCCUCAUGGACUCCACCAUCCUUCAAGCAAGCCAUUUCCGAAGAAGGCCAAGAGAAGCCAGAAUGCUUUGAUAUUUCUCCUCUCCUUGCCCAACCCAUCCCAGCUGGCACAGGCGCCUGGACUGUGGAAAGCCUGCUGGCACCUGCUCAGAAGUUUUGGGAUGCCCUAAGCUUGUGCAAUACAAAGAAAACCUUUUCUUUGUUAAACAUCUUGAUUUCACUGUCCUUUAUGCGUGUGUGUAAACCCAGGUCAAACUGGAAUUGAUCUACAAUAGAAAUGACUGAAAAACAAACAAACUGAAAAAAGACAACUAUUUUAUUUAUUUCAAUAUUUAAGAGAGAAAAGAAGUGCUCAAGUUGCACAGUAUUUUUGUUUAAAAUACAGUUUACUUCAAAAUUUAAAAGCAAUUUUGUGAAGACGUGAAAAUUAAAAAAAAAAGCACUUAAUGUAAAAUAAAGACUGAAUAUUUACUUUAAGGAAAAACUUUUUUUUAAUUAUGAAAAUAAAGAUCAACUCUGCUCUCUCUUACUUUAAAGAAGCCAUUCAUACAUGUGCUGGGUAUUUUUAUUUUUUGCAAAUUGGAUGUGGUAAGUGAAGAUUGUUCUGGUUUACUUUCUCCUAAAUUCUUGGUACUGUUUCCCUGUUAGAUAUUUAAAGCUUAUUUGCUUUACUGUGGUAGGCACAAAUCUGAACAAAUAUACUGUUGAAAAAGCAAAGAACAGACCCAAAGGCUGAAUUCUUGUUAUCGGUUUUUGUGUCCAGGCCGGAAGGAGUAUUGAUGUAUCUUUUCUAUAGAGUGAAACAAGUUUUGGCUUUACCAGUUCUGGGAAAUAUUGCUGCUGAAAAUAGAGGUUUAAAAAAGGAACAUCUCAAUUUACAGCAGUGCUACAUUUCAUUUUAGUAACUCAGCAGCUCAUUCUGAGAGAUGCUUGCAAUCUAAGGGCCUGAGCGUUCAAGCAUUCUGGGCGUGGAAUCUCCCAGUGGAAGUCCCCUGCACUUCCAAGUGCAGCACCAUUGCAUAAUUGAGCCCUAGUUUGGGAACUACUGGACAUUCAAAGGCAUGCAGAACUUCUUUUAAGCACCUCAGAAAUAAGCAGCUGGGGUGACUCAGGAAGAGGCAAGUGUGAGGUGCCAGGUGUAGAACCCUAAAUUUAGUUUUAUGGAGCGUGUGUGGUAAGGAAGGAGUUCAUACAUUUAUUUUAAACUGUUACUCAUCUUCUCAGCCUGGUAAGAUGUAUUGAUUCAUAGAUGAAUUGAAGGGUCUAUUUGGUUACCCAGUCCAUCUCCAGGGGCCAGUGCAAGAUUGUUCCCUACAGUGCUUUGUGCAGACUGGUUUUGAGUGUCUCAAAUUAAAGAUACAGAACAGCCUAGUCUCCUAAAGAAGGCCUUGGAUUUGAACCUGAGGCCUAGUCUACACUAGAAAAGCUUUGCCAUUAUAGCUGCUACUGGUAUCAGUUUCCCAAGCAAAAUAAGGCAUCUUUAUGCUCAUAUAACUGGACUUUUGCCAGUAUAGAAAUGUUGCAAAACAAUCACACUGACAUUACUAUGCCAGAAAAUGUUUCUAGUGUAGAGCUGGCCUGAGCUCCCUUGCCCCUCCUCAUCCAGUGAGUCAUCUCUGCUUAGUCACUAAAUUAUUUAUUUAUCAAAGGCAUCUGGGGAGAACCUGUUCUUUUGCCAUUGACAAGAAGGUGGUAGCAUAUGUGAUGAUAAUGAAGGUCCUGACCCUUCAUCUUGUUUCUUGCUCACCCAAGACUUCAGUUAACUUCACUGGGAAUCUUGGGUGUGUUAGGAAUGCAGGAUCUGAAGGAACCCCUCCCCUUCUUAACACCUAGGACCAAAUCUGCAGGUAUAGGCAAUGUAACAUCACUGGUAGAUCCUACUCCAGCUCCCACUGAAUUCAAUGGCAAAACUUAUAUUGCCGUCAAUGGGAGCAGGAGCAGGACACUUUGCCAGUUUUUUUGGAAAUCUGCAGUUGUUAAACUGCCUUUAAAAAUAAUCAGGUUUUGUUCUGUUAAAAUAUAACAAGAUGCACAACUGUAAUGAAACUUCUCAAACUGUAGGGUCUGGAUUUAAUUUGUGUAAUAUUCUUGUUAAAUAAAAGUCUCCUGAUGCCCCCAUUGUAUAUUUCUCUGUAAAUAUUACUUUAUCAACAAAU
RNAcentral lists this long non-coding RNA (2232 nucleotides) under Terrapene triunguis (Three-toed box turtle). Its description in RNAcentral is "Terrapene carolina triunguis (Three-toed box turtle) lncRNA (ENSTMTG00000009783.1)". The record is from RNAcentral. Lineage: Eukaryota; Metazoa; Chordata; Testudines; Emydidae.